UACAGAGGGGGCAAGCGUUAUUCGGAAUUAUUGGGCGUAAAGGGCGCGUAGGCGGUCUUUUAAGUCAGAUGUGCAAUCCCCGAGCUCAACUUGGGAACUGCAUCUGAGACUGGAAGACUCGAGUGCUGGAGAGGGUGGUAGAAUUCCACGUGUAGGGUGAAAUGCGUAGAGAUGUGGAGGAAUACCAGUGGCGAAGGCGGCCACCUGGACAGUAACUGACGCUGAGGCGCGAAAGUGUGGGUAGCAAACAGGAUUAGAUACCCUGGUAGUCCACGCUGUAAACGAUGAACACGUGGUGUAUCGGGAGUUGACCCCCGAUGUGCCGUAGCUAACGCGUUAAGUGUUUCGCCUGGGGAGUACGGUCGCAAGGCUGAA
This 375-nucleotide ribosomal RNA is filed under the name uncultured bacterium. Its description in RNAcentral is "bacterial SSU rRNA". It matches the Rfam family "Bacterial small subunit ribosomal RNA", at positions 524 to 898 of the family's 1533-position model. The record is from RNAcentral.